RNAcentral lists this ribosomal RNA (161 nucleotides) under Carapichea ipecacuanha (ipecac). RNAcentral's name for it is "5.8S ribosomal RNA". It matches the Rfam family "5.8S ribosomal RNA". From Rfam's summary of the family: 5.8S ribosomal RNA (5.8S rRNA) is a component of the large subunit of the eukaryotic ribosome. Lineage: Eukaryota; Viridiplantae; Streptophyta; Magnoliopsida; Gentianales; Rubiaceae. The record is from RNAcentral.
AAAAUGACUCUCGGCAACGGAUAUCUAGGUUCUCGCAUCGAUGAAGAACGUAGCGAAAUGCGAUACUUGGUGUGAAUUGCAGAAUCCCGUGAACCAUCGAGUUUUUGAACGCAAGUUGCGCCCGAAGCCAUUAGGCUGAGGGCACGUCUGCCUGGGCGUCA